UUCCACACCUCCAUCGAUCCCCGCUAAAGACAAGGGGGUGCUACCCAUACCGACACCAGUUAAGCGCGUUGAAGCGAUCGUAAGGCCUGCUUAUGCAGAUUCGGAUUCAGAAGAAACAGUUGACAGUGACCCACAUGAAAGUCAGUUGGCUGGUGAUGGGAUUGGGGAUGACGGUGGCAUGCGUUAGCUAAAGUUUGGUCUAUGUGUUAUCCAAUAAGAUAGGAAGGCGUGCGAGAGUUUAUGCGUUUUUCCUUUUUCUGUUUUAUGUUUUUUUUUUUCUUGGAAGACAUCUUUUUUCACUUCUUUUUGGCCGGCAAGUUUUGCCAAGGAAACAACUUAUGGUCCAUGGUUUAAUAAAGUUUAAGCACGCCCCUUUGUAGGCGUAUUGUCUUA
Long non-coding RNA from Helianthus annuus (common sunflower), 393 nucleotides. RefSeq lists it as uncharacterized. The record is from RefSeq and is a predicted model, not a curated record. NCBI's taxonomy places the organism in Eukaryota, Viridiplantae, Streptophyta, Magnoliopsida, Asterales, Asteraceae. The transcript has 3 exons.